Molecule: ribosomal RNA, 444 nt
Filed under: uncultured Eubacteriaceae bacterium
Lineage: Bacteria; Bacillati; Bacillota; Clostridia; Eubacteriales; Eubacteriaceae
Also listed under: 1 other name
Description: bacterial SSU rRNA
Rfam family: Bacterial small subunit ribosomal RNA
Source: RNAcentral
CCUACGGGGGGCUGCAGUGGGGAAUAUUGCGCAAUGGAGAAGAACUCUGACGCAGCAAUACCGCGUGAGCGAAGAAGGUCUUCGGAUCGUAAAGCUCUGUUAUCAGGGAAGAAGAAAAUGACGGUACCUGAUGAGCAAGUCCCGGCUAACUACGUGCCAGCAGCCGCGGUAAUACGUAGGGGACAAGCGUUGUCCGGAAUCACUGGGCGUAAAGGGCGCGCAGGCGGUGAUUUAAGCAGGAUGUGAAAGGCUACGGCUCAACCGUAGACAUGCACCCUGAACUGGGUCACUUGAGUAUUGGAGAGGCAGGCAGAAUUCCUGGUGUAGCGGUGAAAUGCGUAGAUAUCAGGAGGAAUACCGGAGGCGAAGGCGGCCUGCUGGACAAAUACUGACGCUGAGGCGCGAAAGCGUGGGGAGCAAACAGGAUUAGAUACCCCGGUAGUC